UAUACGACCGUACCGCAAACCGACACUGGUGCGCGAGAUGAGUAUUCUAAGGCGCUUGAGAGAACUCAGGAGAAGGAACUCGGCAAAUUGACACCGUAACUUCGGAAGAAGGUGUGCCCUAUUAGUGUGUAGUGAACAACGAAGCAUGAAUGGGUUGCAAAAAAUCGGUGGCUGCGACUGUUUAUUAAAAACACAGCACUCUGCAAACACGAAAGUGGACGUAUAGGGUGUGACGCCUGCCCGGUGCUGGAAGAUUAAAUGAUGGGGUGCAAGCUCUUGAUUGAAGUCCCAGUAAACGGCGGCCGCAACAAUAACGGUCCUAAGGUAGCGAAAUUCCUUGUCGGGUAAGUUCCGACCUGCACGAAUGGCGUAACGAUGGCCACACUGUCUCCUCCUGAGACUCAGCGAAGUUGAAAUGUUUGUGAUGAUGCAAUCUCCCCGCGGAAAGACGGAAAGACCCCAUGAACCUUUACUGUAGCUUUGUAUUGGACUUUGAACAGAUCUGUGUAGGAUAGGUGGGAGGCUUUGAAGCAGGGUCGCUAGAUCUUGUGGAGCCAACGUUGAAAUACCACCCUGGUGUGUUUGAGGUUCUAACCUAGGUCCAUUAUCUGGAUCGGGGACAGUGCAUGGUAGGCAGUUUGACUGGGGCGGUCUCCUCCCAAAGCGUAACGGAGGAGUUCGAAGGUACGCUAGUUACGGUCGGACAUCGUGACGAUAGUGCAAUGGCAUAAGCGUGCUUAACUGCGAGACUGACAAGUCGAGCAGAUGCGAAAGCAGGACAUAGUGAUCGGGUGGUUCUGCAUGGAAGGGCCAUCGCUCAACGGAUAAAAGGUACUCUGGGGAUAACAGGCUGAUACCGCCCAAGAGUUCAUAUCGACGGCGGUGUUUGGCACCUCGAUGUCGGCUCAUCUCAUCCUGGGGCUGUAGCCGGUCCCAAGGGUAUGGCUGUUCGCCAUUUAAAGAGGUACGUGAGCUGGGUUUAAAACGUCGUGAGACAGUUUGGUCCCUAUCUUCCGUGGGCGCUGCAGAUUUGAGGAAGCCUGCUCCUAGUACGAGAGGACCGGAGUGGACACACCUCUGGUGUAUCGGUUGUCACGCCAGUGGCAUUGCCGAGUAGCUAAGUGUGGAAGAGAUAACCGCUGAAAGCAUCUAAGCGGGAAACUCGUUUCAAGAUGAGAUCUGCCGGGGCCUUGAGCCCCCUAAAGAGUCGUUCAAGACCAGGACGUUGAUAGGUCAGGUGUGGAAGUGAAG
RNAcentral lists this ribosomal RNA (1251 nucleotides) under metagenome. RNAcentral's name for it is "bacterial LSU rRNA". It matches the Rfam family "Bacterial large subunit ribosomal RNA", at positions 1635 to 2878 of the family's 2925-position model. The record is from RNAcentral.